GCAGGGGUGCCGGAGUGGUCUAACGGACCUGACUGUAAAUCAGGCGGGCUUUGCCCUUCGUAGGUUCGAAUCCUACCCCCUGCA
This 84-nucleotide transfer RNA is filed under the name Terriglobia bacterium. Its description in RNAcentral is "tRNA-Tyr". It matches the Rfam family "tRNA". From Rfam's summary of the family: Transfer RNA (tRNA) molecules are approximately 80 nucleotides in length. Their secondary structure includes four short double-helical elements and three loops (D, anti-codon, and T loops). The record is from RNAcentral. Lineage: Bacteria; Pseudomonadati; Acidobacteriota; Terriglobia.